GCUCGAGUGGCGAACGGGUGAGUAACACGUGAGUAACCUGCCCUUGACUUUGGGAUAACUUCAGGAAACUGGGGCUAAUACCGGAUAGGAGCUCCUGCUGCAUGGUGGGGGUUGGAAAGUUUCGGCGGUUGGGGAUGGACUCGCGGCUUAUCAGCUUGUUGGUGGGGUAGUGGCUUACCAAGGCUUUGACGGGUAGCCGGCCUGAGAGGGUGACCGGCCACAUUGGGACUGAGAUACGGCCAG
This 243-nucleotide ribosomal RNA is filed under the name uncultured Actinomycetales bacterium. RNAcentral's name for it is "partial 16S ribosomal RNA". It matches the Rfam family "Bacterial small subunit ribosomal RNA", at positions 89 to 333 of the family's 1533-position model. The record is from RNAcentral. Lineage: Bacteria; Bacillati; Actinomycetota; Actinomycetes; Actinomycetales.